GACUGUACAAAGGUAGCAUAAUCAUUUGUCUUUUAAUUGGAGACUGGAAUGAAUGGUUGGAUGAAAUAUAUACUUUCUUUAUUUUAUAGAAAUAAUUUGAUUUUUGAGUUAAAAAGCUUAAAUUUAUAUAGUAGACGAGAAGACCCUAUAGAACUUUACUUAUGAUAAUAUAAUUAUAUGAUGGAAUAUAUAUUAUUUUAUAUUAAAGUAAUUUUUGUUGGGGUGAUAGGAAAAAUUUAUUAACUUUUUUAUAUUCUUUCAUAUAUUAAUGUGAUUAUGAUCUUAUAUUAUAGAUUAAUAGAUUAAGUUACCUUAGGGAUAACAGCGUUAUUAUUUUGAAGAGUUCAUAUCGAUAAAAUAGUUUGCGACCUCGAUGUUGGAUUAAAAUAAAUAGUGAAUGUAGCAGUUUACUUAUUAGGUCUGUUCGACCUUUAAAUAUUUACA
This 444-nucleotide ribosomal RNA is filed under the name Bothriomiris gotohi. Its description in RNAcentral is "partial large subunit ribosomal RNA". The stretch from base 318 to 444 matches the Rfam family "Bacterial large subunit ribosomal RNA", at positions 2473 to 2600 of the family's 2925-position model. Lineage: Eukaryota; Metazoa; Arthropoda; Insecta; Hemiptera; Miridae. The record is from RNAcentral.